CGGAGGGUGCAAGCGUUGUUCGGAAUUACUGGGCGUAAAGCGCGGGCAGGUGGUCUUUUAAGUCCUUUGUGAAAUCCCGGGGCUCAACUCCGGAUGUGCAUAGGAUACUGGAAGACUGGAGACUGGUAGAGGCGAGCGGAAUUCCUGGUGUAGCGGUGGAAUGCGUAGAUAUCAGGAAGAACACCGGUGGCGAAGGCGGCUCGCUGGGCCAGUUCUGACACUCAUCCGCGAAAGCGUGGGGAGCAAACAGGAUUAGAUACCCUGGUAGUCCACGCCGUAAACGAUGGGCACUAGAUGCCGGGCCUAUAGACGGGUUCGGUGUCGCAGCUAACGCAUUAAGUGCCCCGCCUGGGGAGUACGGCCGCAAGGCUG
This 372-nucleotide ribosomal RNA is filed under the name uncultured organism. Its description in RNAcentral is "bacterial SSU rRNA". It matches the Rfam family "Bacterial small subunit ribosomal RNA", at positions 526 to 896 of the family's 1533-position model. The record is from RNAcentral.